This is a long non-coding RNA of Oncorhynchus tshawytscha (Chinook salmon), 450 nucleotides long. The record is from Ensembl. NCBI's taxonomy places the organism in Eukaryota, Metazoa, Chordata, Actinopteri, Salmoniformes, Salmonidae.
UAACACAGUGACAACUAAACAGAGAUCCAACAUGUUGGUUGUGGUUAACACAGUGACAACUAAACAGAGAUCCAACAUGUUGGUUGUGGUUAACACAGUGACAACUAAACAGAGAUCCAACAUGUUGGUUGUGGUUAGUAAUUCUUGAAUGUCAAUUGUUCUCAUUUAUUCAUUAACUCUUUGAGAAAUAAAACAUUUACUAACAGACAGAGAAACAGUCAGAUGAACAAGUAGUGACAUUUAAUCUCCAUGGUAACUGUCUGUAAUAAUAAUAAGUCACUGUUUGUUAAGGUAGUUCUAGACAGUACAGCAACAAUAAUAACAAUAAUAAUAAUAAUAAGUCACUGUUUGUUAAGGUAGUUAUAGACAGUACAGCAACAACAAUAAUAAUAAUAAUAAUAAGUCACUGUUUGUUAAGGUAGUUAUAGACAGUACAGCAACAACAAUAAU